AUCUUGACCUCAGAUCAGGCAAGGCUACCCGCUGAAUUUAAGCAUAUUAAUAAGCGGAGGAAAAGAAACUAACAAGGAUUCCCUCAGUAACAGCGAGUGAAGCGGGAACAGCUCAAAUUUGAAAUCUCCGACGCUUGCGUCGGCGAGUUGUAGUUGCGAGAAGCACUUUCUAGGCGGAUCGGUGGUGUCUAAGUUGCUUGGAACAGUGCGUCAUAGAGGGUGACAACCCC
This 230-nucleotide ribosomal RNA is filed under the name Goniopora albiconus. RNAcentral's name for it is "partial 28S rRNA". It matches the Rfam family "Eukaryotic large subunit ribosomal RNA", at positions 1 to 222 of the family's 3401-position model. The record is from RNAcentral. Lineage: Eukaryota; Metazoa; Cnidaria; Anthozoa; Scleractinia; Poritidae.